This is a long non-coding RNA of Lagopus leucura (white-tailed ptarmigan), 290 nucleotides long. RefSeq lists it as uncharacterized. Lineage: Eukaryota; Metazoa; Chordata; Aves; Galliformes; Phasianidae. The transcript is spliced from 2 exons. The record is from RefSeq and is a predicted model, not a curated record.
UAUGGCUGUGGUGGGGGCUUGUGCUGCAGGGCGCGGGGCCGUCGCGGUGAUGAUCGCUCAGACUAGAGUCUCCGACCGCUCUGAGGACACCGCAGCGCCUGAGCGACGGCCCCGCCCGGCUCCGCGCCCCGCUCCGCCCUCACCGCUCUCUUUUCGCAGGCUUCCGACGCCGGAUCGCUCCCAUAGCGGGUCGGCGAACUGGAAGAUUUUGGGGGCCGGAAAAGGCGGCUUUUGGGGCUGCGCUGAGGUAAAGCUGGGAUUUGUGGGCAAUAAAUGCGGUUUUAAAUCCG